GUGGGUAAUCUUGCGCAAUGGGCGAAAGCCUGACGCAGCCAUGCCGCGUGAAUGAUGAAGGUCUUAGGAUUGUAAAAUUCUUUCACCGGGGACGAUAAUGACGGUACCCGGAGAAGAAGCCCCGGCUAACUUCGUGCCAGCAGCCGCGGUAAUACGAAGGGGGCUAGCGUUGCUCGGAAUUACUGGGCGUAAAGGGCGCGUAGGCGGACAGUUUAGUCAGAGGUGAAAGCCCAGGGCUCAACCUUGGAAUUGCCUUUGAUACUGGCUGUCUUGAGUACGGGAGAGGUGAGUGGAACUCCGAGUGUAGAGGUGAAAUUCGUAGAUAUUCGGAAGAACACCAGUGGCGAAGGCGACUCACUGGCCCGUUACUGACGCUGAGGCGCGAAAGCGUGGGGAGCAAACAGGAUUAGAUACCCGGGUAGUCC
RNAcentral lists this ribosomal RNA (425 nucleotides) under uncultured bacterium. Its description in RNAcentral is "partial 16S ribosomal RNA". It matches the Rfam family "Bacterial small subunit ribosomal RNA", at positions 354 to 796 of the family's 1533-position model. The record is from RNAcentral.